This 72-nucleotide transfer RNA is filed under the name Hemiphyllodactylus titiwangsaensis (Titiwangsa slender gecko). RNAcentral describes it as "tRNA-Tyr". Lineage: Eukaryota; Metazoa; Chordata; Lepidosauria; Squamata; Gekkonidae. The record is from RNAcentral.
UGGCAGCAGGGGCUUUCUUUUUUUCCCCCUAAACGAAUCUACAGUUCGCCACCUACUCUCGGCCAUACUACC